This 21-nucleotide small RNA is filed under the name Arabidopsis thaliana (thale cress). RNAcentral's name for it is "Ath_wt_02798". The record is from RNAcentral. Lineage: Eukaryota; Viridiplantae; Streptophyta; Magnoliopsida; Brassicales; Brassicaceae.
CCGGCCGGGGGACGGACUGGG